GAAAAUGAAUAUUUACCAUAUCGUAUAAUUACAGGAAUAAGGUCUGUACGUCUCUACCAAGCUACCGUAAAAUGGCUUGACUACGAUGGAUUAUCUAUUAUAA
RNAcentral lists this non-coding RNA (103 nucleotides) under Bacillus sp. (in: firmicutes). Its description in RNAcentral is "Bacillus sp. Guanine sequence". It matches the Rfam family "Purine riboswitch aptamer". Rfam says of the family: Riboswitches are metabolite binding domains within certain messenger RNAs that serve as precision sensors for their corresponding targets. Allosteric rearrangement of mRNA structure is mediated by ligand binding, and this results in modulation of gene expression. RNAcentral also lists the same sequence under 1 other name. The record is from RNAcentral. Lineage: Bacteria; Bacillati; Bacillota; Bacilli; Caryophanales; Bacillaceae.